RNAcentral lists this long non-coding RNA (770 nucleotides) under Equus caballus (horse). RNAcentral describes it as "lncRNA (ENSECAG00000056079.1)". The record is from RNAcentral. Lineage: Eukaryota; Metazoa; Chordata; Mammalia; Perissodactyla; Equidae.
GUUUGAGCCCUGAGACUGAAGGAGUUCCUCAGGCUCCCAUGUCAGUCAGCUUCAACCUGGGUUCAGCCGAUGUGGGUGGCAGCAGAGAUUGGAGGGAAGAAGGGAGAAGUCACAGUAUUUCUUCCCUCCCUCUCUACCUGGCCUUGCCUCCAGCAGCCACUGCUUUUCCUCCAUGGCUCCAGCCCCCUCCAGACAAGCCCAUCAGGGACUCUGGGAACACCAACUCCUCUCUCUCUCUUCAGCCUCUGUGCAGCGAGGAGGCCGGGAAGCCGGCUGCCGCCGCCCCUCUCUUUCCAGCCCUGCGUCUGGGGAUGGCACGUCGGCGGAUUGACACCAGCUGUGGUGGGAGUAUUUACACCGCAGGAAUGAGCAAACCCUACCAAGCAAGGCCUGAUUCAUUGUUCCGUUGACCUGCGGCUGGCAAACUUUAUUCUGUAAAGGGCCAGAUGGUAAAUAGUUUCAGCUUUGCACCCCUCCAGUCUCUGGCUGACCUACUCAUCUCUGCCGCUGUAUUGCAGGGACAGACACAGACAAUAUGUAAAACCAACAGUCAGGCUGUGUUCCAAGAAAUUUUACUCACAAAAACAGAUGGGGGACCGGAUUUGGCCCACGGACCAUAGUUUGCUGAUCCCUAGUCAAGACUUUAAAAAAAUGAUGGAGAAAUGUUAAUAAUUCUGAUUAAAUUUUAAAAUGUGUCUAUCUCCAAUACAUUGCGAAUAGCACAAAAAAUUGAGGAAAUGUUCUUCUGAUAUUUGAAAGCUAUCAUCCAG